CCGAUGACGCCCGGCCGGCCGGGCAGACCCUGCUUGCCCUCCCAAAACGGCCCUCUGAUUCGGGCUUCCGUGCGCGCCGCCCCUCCCCCAGCCGGCCGCUGCUCCCCGGCCGGCCGUCCUGGCGGUGACACAGAGCUGAGGCCGCCGCGCUGGAGGCCGCAGUGAGCAUUGCUCACUCGCAGCAGCGGGCGGAUGAAAAGGCAGUGCAGAUGUAAUUUGUUUUCAAUGGCUGUUUCAAAAGAAUAAUUGUGGUGACAUUGCGGGAUCAAUAUUAUAGAUUUUUGUUUUCAAGUACACUGUAUGUGUGGUGCUAAGGGGAGGCAGGAAAUACAACACUGCAGCCUGAAUACAAUAAAAAUGGAUUGAGGUCUGCGGGUAUGUGUCGGCCGCUGGCCGUGGCGGGUUGGGGACAUCAUCGGCGGGAUUACCGGCCUUGUCCUGGGGGGCCGGUGCUCCCACGGGGAGUGUGGGCACACUUCCUGCAGCUUUCGUCUUUGGCCGCCCGUGGGAAGUAGCCGGAGGUGAGCUUCCGUCGCCAGAGCCUCGGCCGAGCUGCUGACAAGUGGAGGUGGCUUGGGGUGGCUUGGGGUGGAGAUCGGGACACUUCCUCCAGGAAACGACGGCAGCCCUGGUCCACACGGGCGGCGGCACGCCCCUGGCAGCUGCGUGUUCCUGCAGCUCUUCCCGUGCCCUCUUACAGCACCCGCCUCCCCACGCGUGUCUGGGGUCCCCGGUUGGUGCAGGGACAUCGGCUGGGGUGGGAGCAAGUCCCCAAGCUCCCCUCGGAACGCCCCGGGAUGGGGACGGCGUGCUCUUCGGAGAAGCACUCAGCGCAGGGGGAGCUCCUCUGACCGCGAAGACUGUCGCUUUAACGCCCCGGAAACCCCCAGGCCGGGGAACCAAGACCCCCUGAGUGAAAGGCGGGUUUCAGACUCGGGGCGACUGGACAGAAAUGCAGGCCCCAGGGUGAAAAUCGUAUGAACAAAGAGUUGGUAAUAAGGCUGAAUAAAUGCGAUGAGGUGUGGGAGAGAGCAGGGCAGACGCUUUCCUCCCCUGUCCUUUGUAAUUAGCCCUUGAAAAAAACGGGUGCCCUGGCAAAAUACCCUUCUGGUUGCUGGGUUCAAAUUGUAAAUGAAAAUAAUGUGUUUGAGGGGGGUGGUGAGAGAAGCGUAAAGUCGAGAGCAGGAUUUCUACCUGGUCCCCAGGAGGUCGCCCAGAAUGAGAGAGCUGCAGCACCCUGUCCAAUCCACUCAUUUGACAGGCGGGGAAACUGAGGCAGAGCUGUUCCUAGGAUCCUGUUCUGUCUCCCAAUGAGGUUGAAGAAACAGCAUAUUCUGACAUCCAACCCAAAGCUCCCCAAACUCGGCGAACUUGGCUCCAGUUUGAGUGCAUUUUGUUUGGAAAUCGCCAUGUCUUUUUUGUUUGUUUGUUUGCUUUUCCUCUCCUCUCCCCUCCCCCCUCUCUCUUUCCCCUCCUCUCUCUCUCUUUCUUAAUUGAGGACAAAUAUAAAACCAGGAGAUCUCACAACAAUCCAGUUCUGGAUUCUUCCGGACGACGAGAGUAUCCAGCAACACGGGACUCCCCUGCGAGGCGCCAUCUAGCUGGCUCGGAGUCCCUCGCUUUGGGCGAGGUCCUUCCCCCCUCACUCACACGCAGCCCAAUACAAAUCCGAGCUUGCGACCGGCCUGCUGUCCUGCUCUGACAUCGACCGACACUCUUGUCCAUUCGGCAGAGAGGCAGGUACGAGGGGCACGCGAUCCUCAGAGCGAGGCCUUCCUUAGUCCCUCUAAGCCCGGAAUGUGGUCGGUGGACGCGAGCUGAUCCGCGCUCGCCGUGCCCGCGAGCCCCCGUGUUAGGGGAGCGUGUGCCCGGGUGACACCCACUGUCCGCGGGGAGUGAAAACCAAAGCGUCUACGAACCUCAACGUAGCCAGAUGUUUAGCGUCCACACUUCCCGAGCAUUUGGUCCGAUCGCCGUUUGCCAAGCCCCUCGCCCGGGGAUUAGCCGAGAGAGAAGGCCUCCUCGCAGGGAGCCCAAGGUCUAACUGGAAAAAAACAUCCCAUGGAUUACGCACGGUGUAAACUCAGAUACUGUUUGCUGGGAUCCUCCUGUUGUACAAGGACCUGUGACAAGUCCCUGGAAACCGGAGAUACCCACAAAUGACAGAGUGAAAAGGGCCGUAAUUCAUGUGUCGGGGGGCAUGAACCUAGGUUAGAGGGAUUAGCAUCUUAGUCACUAAUUUAACAGAUGUUUAUUGUCACCUAUACCUAUUCAUGGGUCCAGCCACCACUUCUUACGUACGGAGUGAAAUCCCAAGCUCGCCGCUGGAAAUCAGUUGUUGGGAAGAAUAUUCACUCACUUCCAUCUUUCAAGGCCGGAACCGCGUGGGGCUGUGGCAUACAUAGCAGGGGUUUGUCUGCAGCUUGUGUUCACUUACUGUGCAGGGCUGAGGGCCAAGGUCUGCCUGUUUCCCGUCCCCAUGCGCUGGCCCCAAGGGUCCCUGUGGUCCCUUGGGUGUCAGCUGAGGGUGCAGGUACUGGUACAUCAGUGGCGGCGUGGGGGUCUGGUCUGCCAGCCCACUUGUGCCCCGUGGGCCUACUCAUGCCAGUGCCAGGUGAGGUCCUUGCAUUUUGCGGUGGGUGAUGUCUGCAUCUACCUGACCUUGUGACUCACUUGCUGGCUCUGACAGAACCCAGGUGAUGAAGGGCAGCUCUCACUGCAUGGUAAGGCAGUUUGUCUACCAGGGCCCUGGAGUAGACACCAUGAGCUGUUGUUUUUGCUUUGUUUAUUUUUACAUGGCGCAUAAUUCCUUCCUACAUAGAUUCUGCAGUUUUUUUUUCCCCCACCUCUGUGACCGCUCUCUCCACUGCGUGAUGAGGGAUUGCCUAGUUCUUGGUUUCCUUGCAGAGCCUUUACCUGACUUGUGUCCCUUCAACGGAAGACACUCUUGUCACUCAGUAAACGGAUAGGAGCAAUACUCUGAAAUGUGGACUAGCUGCCUCCGUAAUCCGCGGGGGCCUCCCCGUCAGAGAGAUUUUUAAAAAUUUCUCAGAAGUGUGAGAUGCAAUGAUUUGUCCUUUCCUUUGGAUGGACUGCCCUGGCAUGUCUUUGACCACUGGACCCUUAAAAACUUCAUUGAUAUGAUGGGUCUCUGAACUUUCUAAGGGAUUGUCUCCCACCCCUGGAGUGCAUGUACCUUAUCAAGGUUGUCCACCACCAUCCUUCAGGGUCUGUCUCAUUUUUGCAGGAAUCAGACUGGUGAAGUAAAUGGCAUAGGAUGGGAGUUACCCCCUUCCAUCCUAUGCAUAUUUUCUGUGUUGGAUGGGUGCAGGAGAGAUUUCAGAGUCUUCCCCUUGGCCUUCUGAACUGUGAUGGCUCUUACAUAAAGCUCUGAGGAACCAAGUUGGAGAGCCACCGAAUUCCAAGUAUGUCCGUUUUGAUGGUAUAUUUUGGGAACUUGGAAAUUAUCAAGUGCCCGAAAUGCAAGAUCCUCAGAGCUGGAUCUGGGCCAAGAUUCCAUUUUUUUUUUUUUACCUGACUUCCAUGUGUGCACACCCCCAGGCCAUUUCUCUAGGAUGCAGAGAGGGUAACGUAAGUUUUGUGGUGGCAGAGGAAGAGUCAUGAGGCCGAAUAGAUGCUAACAAACGUAGCGCUUAUUGAAGGUGUUCCCGGGUGAGGUUCAAGGGUCCCAGAGCAGGGGCCCCAGAAGUUCACGCCGCCCAGGACUGCGAGUUGGCUUGUAUAGGGGGCUAGCUGUUGUUGUCGUCUGUCUCUGGGGGUCAGGGCAGGAUGUUUUGCACCUAGGGCACAUCUUCCAGCUCUGCCUUGGCGGGAGGUCUGGGCCGAGAUGUUCCGUUGGUAACAGGAUACAGUUAGGGCAACUGUUCUGCAAGGUCUUCAGGCUUUACAAUGCUGUGAGGAUAGGGGGAGAGGGAAGGGGACCCAGCCACCAGCCUUACAGGCUUGAAUCUGAAAUUUUAUAGACACGGACACAGCAAAAAGCUGCCUUGACAGGACUUCUGAUGGGCUCCCCGGGGGCCGCGUCACAAACAGUGCCUCGUUUGCAAGCAGGUGCCGGGUGUGAAUUCGGAUUUUUUCCCAUCCAACGCGGGAUGCAAGAGGUGUCCUUCUGAUGACGAGUGGAUACAAGUUGGCUGAGCCGUCAGCUUUGAGUGGCUUCCGAGCCUCGCGAAGGCCAGGGAGUUGGUCGACGUCCUGUCCACACGACCCAUUCGUUCAUUUGCUUCGUCACGGAUAUUUAUGGAACCAGGGCUGCAGGGGAAGGAGCGAGGUUCUUUCCCUCGUGGGGCUUCCAUUCUCAUGCAGGGGCGUGGGGUGAGACUUAAUAAACAAAUAAGCCUAUGUUGCAAUA
This is a non-coding RNA of Microcebus murinus (gray mouse lemur), 4372 nucleotides long. Lineage: Eukaryota; Metazoa; Chordata; Mammalia; Primates; Cheirogaleidae. The record is from RefSeq and is a predicted model, not a curated record.